Molecule: ribosomal RNA, 207 nt
Filed under: uncultured bacterium
Lineage: Bacteria
Description: partial 16S ribosomal RNA
Rfam family: Bacterial small subunit ribosomal RNA
Source: RNAcentral
UGCGUAGGCGGACAUAUUAGUCAGGUGUUAAAUCCUGGGGCUCAACCUCAGAAUCGCACUUGAAACGGUAUGUCUUGAAUAAGUCAGAGGCAAGCAGAACUCACGGUGUAGGGGUGAAAUCCGUUGAUAUCGUGGGGAAUACCAAAUGCGAAGGCAGCUUGCUGGGACUUUAUUGACGCUAAGGCACGAAAGCGUGGGUAGCGAACG